This 303-nucleotide ribosomal RNA is filed under the name Chlorella vulgaris. RNAcentral describes it as "SSU rRNA". It matches the Rfam family "Bacterial small subunit ribosomal RNA", at positions 470 to 772 of the family's 1533-position model. The record is from RNAcentral. Lineage: Eukaryota; Viridiplantae; Chlorophyta; Trebouxiophyceae; Chlorellales; Chlorellaceae.
UGACGGUAUCUGAGGAAUAAGCAUCGGCUAACUCUGUGCCAGCAGCCGCGGUAAGACAGAGGAUGCAAGCGUUAUCCGGAAUGAUUGGGCGUAAAGCGUCUGUAGGUGGCUUAAAAAGUCUCCUGUCAAAGAUCAGGGCUUAACCCUGGGCCGGCAGGAGAAACUCUUAGGCUAGAGUUUGGUAGGGGCAGAGGGAAUUCCCGGUGGAGCGGUGAAAUGCGUAGAGAUCGGGAGGAACACCAAAGGCGAAAGCACUCUGCUGGGCCAUAACUGACACUGAGAGACGAAAGCUAGGGUAGCAAA